GGGUAGAGUAAUGCGUGACCAACCUGCCCCAUGCUCCAGAAUAGCUCUUGGAAACGGGUGGUAAUGCUGGAUGCUCCAACUUGACGCAUGUCUUGUUGGGAAAGUGUUUAGUGGCAUGGGAUGGGGUCGCGUCCUAUCAGCUUGUAGGCGGGGUAAUGGCCCACCUAGGCUUCGACGGGUAGCCGGCCUGAGAGGGCGGACGGCCACAUUGGGACUGAGAUACGGCCCAGACUCCUACGGAGGCAGCAGNU
This 251-nucleotide ribosomal RNA is filed under the name uncultured Gardnerella sp. RNAcentral's name for it is "partial 16S ribosomal RNA". It matches the Rfam family "Bacterial small subunit ribosomal RNA", at positions 100 to 354 of the family's 1533-position model. The record is from RNAcentral. Lineage: Bacteria; Bacillati; Actinomycetota; Actinomycetes; Bifidobacteriales; Bifidobacteriaceae.